ACGAGGAUAACCUCGGGAAACUGAGAAUAAUACUCGAUAGAUCAUUAUGCCUGGAACGGUUUAUGGUUAAAAUGAAUUUCGCCAUAGGAUGGGACUGCGGUCUAUCAGCUUGUUGGUGAGGUAAUGGCCCACCAAGGCUAUUACAGAUACGGGCUCUGAGAGGAGAAGCCCGGAGAUGGGUACUGAGACACGGACCCAGGCCCUAUGGGGCGCAGCAGGCGAGAAAACUUUGCAAUGUGCGAAAGCACGACAAGGUUAAUCCGAGUGAUUCCUGCUAAAGGAAUCUUUUGUUAGUCAUAAUACCACUAAUGAAUAAGGGGUGGGCAAGUUCUGGUGUCAGCCGCCGCGGUAAAACCAGCACCUCAAGUGGUCAGGAUGAUUAUUGGGCCUAAAGCAUCCGUAGCCGGCUCUGUUAGUUUUCGGUUAAAUCUAUAUGCUCAACAUAUAGGCUGCCGGGAAUACUACAAAGCUAGGAAGUGGGAGAGGUAGACGGUACUCCGUAGGAAGGGGUAAAAUCCUUUGAUCUAUGGAUGACCACCAGUGGCGAAGGCGGUCUACCAGAACAUGUUCGACGGUGAGGGAUGAAAGCUGGGGGAGCAAACCGGAUUAGAUACCCGGGUAGUCCCAGCUGUAAACUAUGCAAACUCAGUGAUGCAUUGGCUUGUGGCCAGUGCAGUGCCGCAGAGAAGUCGUUAAGUUUGCCGCCUGGGAAGUACGUACGCAAGUAUGAAACUUAAAGGAAUUGGCGGGGGAGCACCACAAGGGGUGAAGCCUGCGGUUCAAUUGGAGUCAACGCCGGG
This 800-nucleotide ribosomal RNA is filed under the name uncultured crenarchaeote. RNAcentral describes it as "bacterial SSU rRNA". It matches the Rfam family "Archaeal small subunit ribosomal RNA", at positions 120 to 922 of the family's 1478-position model. The record is from RNAcentral. Lineage: Archaea; Thermoproteati; Thermoproteota.